UGUAAGCGUAUACCAAAGUUGUUGCAGUUAAAACGCUCGUAGUCGGAAUUUGGCAGUUCCGGAUGUGUGCACGUCGUGUGCGCACUUCGCGGGGAUUGCUUUUGUGGUCUUGCGUAGGAUGAAGCACUUUUAUUAGUGAACGUCCUCACGCAACCACUUUUUACUGUGAGAAAAUCAGAGUGCUCAAAGCAGGCAUUUGCCGUGAAUGUAUUAGCAUGGAAUAAUAGAAUAGGACUUGGUUCUAUUUUGUUGGUUUGUUGGGACUGAGUAAUGAUUAAGAGGGACAGUUGGGGGCAUUUGUAUUUCGGUGCUAGAGGUGAAAUUCUUAGAUUACCGAAAGACAAACUGCUGCGAAAGCGUCUGCCAAGGAUGUUUUCAUUGA
RNAcentral lists this ribosomal RNA (382 nucleotides) under uncultured eukaryote. RNAcentral describes it as "partial 18S ribosomal RNA". It matches the Rfam family "Eukaryotic small subunit ribosomal RNA", at positions 592 to 976 of the family's 1831-position model. The record is from RNAcentral.